UACCAGCACCCCGAGUGGUCGGGACGAUUAUUGGGCCUAAAGCAUCCGUAGCCGGUCCUGCAAGUCUUCCGUUAAAUCCAGCUGCUCAACAGAUGGGCUGCGGGGGAUACUACAGGGCUAGGAGGCGGGAGAGGCAAGCGGUACUUUAUGGGUAGGGUAAAAUCCGUUGAUCCAUAGAAGACCACCAGUGGCGAAGGCGGCUUGCCAGAACGCGCUCGACGGUGAGGGAUGAAAGCUGGGGGAGCAAACCGG
Molecule: ribosomal RNA, 252 nt
Filed under: uncultured bacterium
Lineage: Bacteria
Description: partial 16S ribosomal RNA
Rfam family: Archaeal small subunit ribosomal RNA
Source: RNAcentral